GUGUCAGCCGCCGCGGUAAUACGGGGGGUGCAAGCGUUGUUCGGAAUUAUUGGGCGUAAAGAGCGUGUAGGCGGCCGGAUGUGUCAGAUGUGAAAGCCCUGGGCUUAACCCAGGAAGUGCAUUUGAAACUGUCCGGCUUGAGUAGGGGAGAGGGAAGUGGAAUUCCUGGUGUAGAGGUGAAAUUCGUAGAUAUCAGGAGGAACACCGGUGGCGAAGGCGACUUCCUGGCCCUAUACUGACGCUGAGACGCGAGAGCGUGGGUAGCAAACAGGAUUAGAUACCCUGGUAGUCCACGCCGUAAACGAUGUUCACUAGGUGUUGGGGGUAUUGACCCCCUCAGUGCCGGAGCUAACGCAUUAAGUGAACCGCCUGGGGAGUACGGUCGCAAGACUAAA
This 395-nucleotide ribosomal RNA is filed under the name uncultured bacterium. RNAcentral's name for it is "bacterial SSU rRNA". It matches the Rfam family "Bacterial small subunit ribosomal RNA", at positions 505 to 898 of the family's 1533-position model. The record is from RNAcentral.